AGAUCUUGGGAACCUCUGAGAAUUCAUCUCUGAAUGCUCAAGGCACCAUAGUGUUAUGCUUUCAGAUUCAGAAGUUGAGUCCAUGACCAUCCUGUUGGGAAGCAUGGCAGCAAACAGACAAACAGACACAGUGCUGGAUUAGCACCUGAUAGCUUACAUAUUGAAAACACAAUCAUAAAGCAAAGAGG
Molecule: long non-coding RNA, 188 nt
Organism: Peromyscus eremicus (cactus mouse)
Lineage: Eukaryota; Metazoa; Chordata; Mammalia; Rodentia; Cricetidae
Exons: 2
Source: RefSeq, a predicted model, not a curated record